AGCAGUCGCCACGGGAAUACGUAGGGUGCAAGCGUUAAUCGGAAUUACUGGGCGUAAAGCGUGCGUAGGCGGCUUCUUAAGUCGGAUGUGAAAUCCCUGAGCUUAACUUAGGAAUUGCAUUCGAUACUGGGAAGCUAGAGUAUGGGAGAGGAUGGUAGAAUUCCAGGUGUAGCGGUGAAAUGCGUAGAGAUCUGGAGGAAUACCGAUGGCGAAGGCAGCCAUCUGGCCUAAUACUGACGCUGAGGUACGAAAGCAUGGGGAGCAAACAGGAUUAGAUACCCGCGUAGUCCCUGUCUCUUAUAU
Molecule: ribosomal RNA, 303 nt
Filed under: uncultured bacterium
Lineage: Bacteria
Description: partial 16S ribosomal RNA
Rfam family: Bacterial small subunit ribosomal RNA
Source: RNAcentral